CCUACGGGAGGCAGCAGUGGGGGAUAUUGCACAAUGGGGGAAACCCUGAUGCAGCGACGCCGCGUGUGGGAAGACGGUCCUCUGGAUUGUAAACCACUGUCCCCAGGGACGAAGAUGACGGUACCUGGGGAGGAAGCUCCGGCUAACUACGUGCCAGCAGCCGCGGUCAGACGUAGGGAGCGCGCGUUGUCCGGAAUUACUGGGUGUAAGGGGAGCGUAGGCGGGACUGCAAGGUGGGGGUCAAAUCUACCGGCUCAACCGGUAGCCGCACUCAAAACUGCAGUUCUUGAGUGAAGUAGAGGCAGGCGGAAUUCCUAGUGUAGCGGUGAAAUGCGUAGAUAUUAGGAGGAACACCAGUGGCGAAGGCGGCCUGCUGGGCUUUUACUGACGCUGAGGCUCGAAAGUGUGGGGAGCAAACAGGAUUAGAUACCCGAGUAGUC
This 440-nucleotide ribosomal RNA is filed under the name uncultured bacterium. RNAcentral describes it as "partial 16S ribosomal RNA". It matches the Rfam family "Bacterial small subunit ribosomal RNA", at positions 338 to 795 of the family's 1533-position model. The record is from RNAcentral.